RNAcentral lists this ribosomal RNA (497 nucleotides) under uncultured bacterium. RNAcentral's name for it is "partial 16S ribosomal RNA". It matches the Rfam family "Bacterial small subunit ribosomal RNA", at positions 28 to 507 of the family's 1533-position model. The record is from RNAcentral.
GAUGAACGCUGGCGGCGUGCCUAAUACAUGCAAGUCGAGCGAACGGACGAGAAGCUUGCUUCUCUGAUGUUAGCGGCGGACGGGUGAGUAACACGUGGAUAACCUACCUAUAAGACUGGGAUAACUUCGGGAAACCGGAGCUAAUACCGGAUGAUAUUUUGAACCGCAUGGUUCAAAAGUGAAAGACGGUCUUGCUGUCACUUAUAGAUGGAUCCGCGCUGCAUUAGCUAGUUGGUAAGGUAACGGCUUACCAAGGCAACGAUGCAUAGCCGACCUGAGAGGGUGAUCGGCCACACUGGAACUGAGACACGGUCCAGACUCCUACGGGAGGCAGCAGUAGGGAAUCGUCCGCAAUGGGCGAAAGCCUGACGGAGAAACGCCGCGUGAGUGAUGAAGGUCUUCGGAUCGUAAAACUCUGUUAUUAGGGAAGAACAUAUGUGUAAGUAACUGUGAACAUCUUGACGGUACCUAAUCAGAAAGCCACGGCUAACUACGUG